Molecule: ribosomal RNA, 468 nt
Filed under: uncultured bacterium
Lineage: Bacteria
Description: partial 16S ribosomal RNA
Rfam family: Bacterial small subunit ribosomal RNA
Source: RNAcentral
ACGAACGCUGGCGGCGUGCUUAACACAUGCAAGUCGAACGGAAAGGCCCUGCUUGCAGGGUGCUCGAGUGGCGAACGGGUGAGUAACACGUGGGUGAUCUGCCCCUUAUUUUGGGAUAAGCCUGGGAAACUGGGUCUAAUACUGGAUAGGACCAUGCUGUAGGUGGUGUGGUGGAAAGAUUAGUUUCGGUAAGGGAUGAGCUCGCGGCCUAUCAGCUUGUUGGUGGGGUAAUGGCCUACCAAGGCGUCGACGGGUAGCCGGCCUGAGAGGGUGGACGGCCACAUUGGGACUGAGAUACGGCCCAGACUCCUACGGGAGGCAGCAGUGGGGAAUAUUGCACAAUGGGCGCAAGCCUGAUGCAGCGACGCCGCGUGGGGGAUGACGGCCUUCGGGUUGUAAACUCCUUUCAGCCAUGACGAAGCCCUUGUGGUGACGGUAGUGGUAGAAGAAGCACCGGCUAACUACGUG